Octopus sinensis (East Asian common octopus) is the source of this 110-nucleotide long non-coding RNA. RefSeq lists it as uncharacterized. NCBI's taxonomy places the organism in Eukaryota, Metazoa, Mollusca, Cephalopoda, Octopoda, Octopodidae. The transcript is spliced from 3 exons. The record is from RefSeq and is a predicted model, not a curated record.
UAAAUAUGCAAAAAAUACAUGUAAAUAAAACCCAUGUGGGAUACAUAUGGAAGGAAGUGUGAGAAAAAGAGGACUGAGAAAAAUUUUUUUUUUGUUGGUACUAAAAUGAA